Molecule: ribosomal RNA, 503 nt
Filed under: uncultured bacterium
Lineage: Bacteria
Description: partial 16S ribosomal RNA
Rfam family: Bacterial small subunit ribosomal RNA
Source: RNAcentral
AUUGAACGCUGGCGGCAGGCUUAACACAUGCAAGUCGAGCGGGGUGAUGGUGCUUGCACUAUCACUUAGCGGCGGACGGGUGAGUAAUGCUUAGGAAUCUGCCUAUUAGUGGGGGACAACAUCUCGAAAGGGAUGCUAAUACCGCAUACGUCCUACGGGAGAAUGCAGGGGAUCACUUGUGACCUUGCGCUAAUAGAUGAGCCUAAGUCGGAUUAGCUAGUUGGUGGGGUAAAGGCCUACCAAGGCGACGCUCUGUAGCGGGUCUGAGAGGAUGAUCCGCCACACUGGGACUGAGAAACGGCCCAGACUCCUACGGGAGGCAGCAGUGGGGAAUAUUGGACAAGGGGGGGAACCCUGAUCCAGCCAUGCCGCGUGUGUGAAGAAGGCCUUAUGGUUGUAAAGCACUUUAAGCGAGGAGGAGGCUCUUUUGGUUAAUACCCAAGAUGAGUGGACGUUACUCGCAGAAUAAGCACCGGCUAACUCUGUGCCAGCAGCCGCCGUAA